UACGAAGGGGGGCUAGCGUUGCUCGGAAUCACUGGGCGUAAAGGGUGCGUAGGCGGGUCUUUUAAGUCAGGGGUGAAAUCCUGGAGCUCAACUCCAGAACUGCCUUUGAUACUGAGGAUCUUGAGUUCGGGAGAGGUGAGUGGAACUGCGAGUGUAGAGGUGAAAUUCGUAGAUAUUCGCAAGAACACCAGUGGCGAAGGCGGCUCACUGGCCCGAUACUGACGCUGAGGCACGAAAAGCGUGGGGAGCAAACAGGG
This 257-nucleotide ribosomal RNA is filed under the name uncultured bacterium. RNAcentral describes it as "partial 16S ribosomal RNA". It matches the Rfam family "Bacterial small subunit ribosomal RNA", at positions 524 to 777 of the family's 1533-position model. The record is from RNAcentral.